RNAcentral lists this ribosomal RNA (763 nucleotides) under Cyphellophora pauciseptata. RNAcentral's name for it is "eukaryotic LSU rRNA". It matches the Rfam family "Eukaryotic large subunit ribosomal RNA", at positions 99 to 879 of the family's 3401-position model. The record is from RNAcentral. Lineage: Eukaryota; Fungi; Ascomycota; Eurotiomycetes; Chaetothyriales; Cyphellophoraceae.
CGGCAACAGCUCAAAUUUGAAAUCUGGCUCUUUUAGGGUCCGAGUUGUAAUUUGGAGAGGAUGUUUCGGGUACGGUCCGGGCUUAAAUUUCUUGGAACAGAAUGUCAAAGAGGGUGAGAAUCCCGUCUGGAGCUCGGGCACGGCCUAUGUGAAACUCCUUCGACGAGUCGAGUUGUUUGGGAAUGCAGCUCUAAAUGGGUGGUAAAUUUCAUCUAAAGCUAAAUAUUGGCCAGAGACCGAUAGCGCACAAGUAGAGUGAUCGAAAGAUGAAAAGCACUUUGAAAAGAGAGUUAAAAAGUACGUGAAAUUGUUGAAAGGGAAGCGCUGGCAACCAGACUUGCGCGUCGGGGUUCCCCCUUGCUUCUGCUUGGGUUACUCCCCGGCGUUCAGGCCAACAUCGGUUUCGGGGGUUGGUUAAAGGCCUUGGGAAUGUACUUACCCUCCGGGGUAAACUUAUAGCCCAGGGUGUCAUGCGACCUCCCGGGACCGAGGAACGCGCUUCGGCUCGGAUGUUGGCGUAAUGGUUGUCAGCGACCCGUCUUGAAACACGGACCAAGGAGUCUAACAUCUAUGCGAGUGUUAGGGUGUCAAACCCUUACGCGGAAUGAAAGUGAACGGAGGUAGGAAGCCAUUAGGCUGCACUAUCGACCGAUCCUGAAGUUUACGGAUGGAUUUGAGUAAGAGCAUAGCUGUUGGGACCCGAAAGAUGGUGAACUAUGCCUGAAUAGGGUGAAGCCAGAGGAAACUCUGGUGGAGGCUCGCA